UGGUGGAGCGAUUUGUCUGGUUAAUUCCGAUAACGAACGAGACUCUAGCCUAUUAAAUAGUUCGCCGAUUUUUCGAGUCGGCGUCAACUUCUUAGAGGGACAGGUGGCGUUUAGCCACACGAGAUUGAGCAAUAACA
RNAcentral lists this ribosomal RNA (137 nucleotides) under uncultured eukaryote. RNAcentral describes it as "partial 18S ribosomal RNA". It matches the Rfam family "Eukaryotic small subunit ribosomal RNA", at positions 1299 to 1458 of the family's 1831-position model. The record is from RNAcentral.